CCUACGGGAGGCAGCAGUGGGGAAUUUUCCGCAAUGGGCGAAAGCCUGACGGAGCAACGCCGCGUGAGGGACGAAGGCCUCUGGGCUGUAAACCUCUUUUCUCAAGGAAGAAGAUAUGACGGUACUUGAGGAAUAAGCCACGGCUAAUUCCGUGCCAGCAGCCGCGGUAAUACGGGAGUGGCAAGCGUUAUCCGGAAUUAUUGGGCGUAAAGCGUCCGCAGGCGGCUUUUCAAGUCUGCUGUUAAAGCGUGGAGCUUAACUCCAUCAUGGCAGUGGAAACUGAAAGGCUUGAGUAUGGUAGGGGCAGAGGGAAUUCCCGGUGUAGCGGUGAAAUGCGUAGAUAUCGGGAAGAACACCAGUGGCGAAGGCGCUCUGCUGGGCCAUUACUGACGCUCAUGGACGAAAGCCAGGGGAGCGAAAGGGAUUAGAUACCCCUGUAGUCCUGGCCG
RNAcentral lists this ribosomal RNA (449 nucleotides) under uncultured Prochlorococcus sp. Its description in RNAcentral is "bacterial SSU rRNA". It matches the Rfam family "Bacterial small subunit ribosomal RNA", at positions 338 to 802 of the family's 1533-position model. Lineage: Bacteria; Bacillati; Cyanobacteriota; Cyanophyceae; Synechococcales; Prochlorococcaceae. The record is from RNAcentral.